This is a long non-coding RNA of Dendroctonus ponderosae (mountain pine beetle), 806 nucleotides long. RefSeq lists it as uncharacterized. NCBI's taxonomy places the organism in Eukaryota, Metazoa, Arthropoda, Insecta, Coleoptera, Curculionidae. The transcript is spliced from 3 exons. The record is from RefSeq and is a predicted model, not a curated record.
CGGGUGCGUAACACUGACGUCACAUUCCGUGAUGUAACGUUGCAGAAUAAUGAAUCCAGUUUUAUAUUAUAUACUCUCUACUUCUGUAAAGUUGACAGCUAACCAUUUAAAAUGGUCCAUAAAAAAGCCAUAAACAUGUCUAAAAAUGUUUAUUGCAAAUUAUGCUUUACUUAUUUCGCCACUAUAAAAGUGGCAAAAUCAUGCUUGUGGCUUGAAUUAUAAAAUAGGCUCAUUCCGAAGAUAAAUGUUUUUUAACAUUCGUUACAAUGUCUUAAUUUAUUGUACUCCAUCUUUGUUGACCUGGUUGCGAUUCUGAAAAUGUCGUUAACCUAUAACACACAGUAAUUACUUUUCGCUACGAUAUAGAGGUUUUGUAAACAAACAAGUAAGCACUUGUUUUUUCAGAUGAAAAUGUGCAUGUAGUGUUUCACGUGGAACACAUUUUAAAAUGGAACCGAUAACAGAGUCAGCACGUAAAGAAAGUUGCCUUUCCUGCAAACUUAUAUCAAUUGGCUGCUUAACUGGAAUUGGAAGCUAUUUGGUUGCCACAUCAAUCAGAUCGUACAAAGGCAAAUCCCGAGCGUUUAUAGGCGCUUUGGGAGCUGGUGCGAUUUGCUUAGGAGCGGGUGAAAUAUUUGACAAAAGUCCAUUUCGAUCUUCAGGAGCUGUAUAAAUACUCAUUAUUUAUUAAAUUAUUACGACUUUCUGUCAAUAUAUAUGUAAAUAUCAAUCAAGAACAGAUAUAAUGUGAAAUACAGUUGACAGUAGACAAAGGUUGUAUUAAAGUUCCAAUUUUGAGAAACAAA